This 484-nucleotide ribosomal RNA is filed under the name uncultured bacterium. RNAcentral's name for it is "partial 16S ribosomal RNA". It matches the Rfam family "Bacterial small subunit ribosomal RNA", at positions 28 to 507 of the family's 1533-position model. The record is from RNAcentral.
AUUGAACGCUGGCGGCAUGCUUUACACAUGCAAGUCGAACGGCCGCGCGGGCUUCGGCCUGGCGGCGAGUGGCGAACGGGUGAGUAAUGCAUCGGAACUUGCCCCGUCGUCGGGGAUAGCCCGGCGAAAGCCGGAUUAAUACCGCAUACGACCUGAGGGUGAUAGCGGGGGACCGACAGGCCUCGCGCUAUUUGAGCGGCCGAAGUCGGAUUAAGGAGUUGGUGGGGUAAAGGCUUACCAAGGCGACGAUCCGUACCUGGUCUGAGAGGCCGACCAGCCACACUGGGACUGAGACACGGCCCAGACGCCUACGGGAGGCAGCAGUGGGGAAUUUUGGAGAAUGGGGGCAACCCUGAUCCAGCAAGGGCGCGUGCGGGAAGAAGGCCUUCGGGGUGUAAACAGCUUGUGUUCGGGAAGAAAUCCUCUGGGCUAAGACACCGGGGGGAUGACGGUACCGGAAGAAUAAGCACCGGCUAACUACGUG